Molecule: non-coding RNA, 75 nt
Filed under: Actinoplanes philippinensis
Lineage: Bacteria; Bacillati; Actinomycetota; Actinomycetes; Micromonosporales; Micromonosporaceae
Description: c-di-GMP-I riboswitch aptamer
Rfam family: c-di-GMP-I riboswitch aptamer
About the family: GEMM was predicted in a large-scale screen for bacterial structured RNA regulatory elements. Genes associated with GEMM are involved in a diverse array of functions, including chemotaxis regulation, signal transduction, secretion and chitin.
Source: Rfam by way of RNAcentral
GGCCGACAAACGCAAACCCGGCGCAAGCCGGGGACGCAAAGCCACAGGGCCCACGAGGCCGGCUGGGCUACCGAC